RNAcentral lists this long non-coding RNA (263 nucleotides) under Lathyrus oleraceus (garden pea). Its description in RNAcentral is "Pisum sativum (pea) long non-coding RNA (PSAT_LNC002959)". Lineage: Eukaryota; Viridiplantae; Streptophyta; Magnoliopsida; Fabales; Fabaceae. The record is from RNAcentral.
GCACGUAAACUAAAACACAUAAAGUAAAUUGAAGAAACAACUUCAUGCAUUCCUCAAACUCUAAAGCAGCUACUCAGUUACCUGCUUAUUUGUAUUCCGAAUAGGAGCACAUACCACAUCAUUAACAAACGUGUGAGAAAUCACAAACAAUAUUAACAUGCAUAUAUUACAAGAUAGGAUAUCAAACACAACAUUUUCUACACAAUCUCAUUCACAUUAUAUUAUAAUACAUUCUCACACCUAUACUCAUCAACCAAUCACAA